Molecule: ribosomal RNA, 253 nt
Filed under: uncultured bacterium
Lineage: Bacteria
Description: partial 16S ribosomal RNA
Rfam family: Bacterial small subunit ribosomal RNA
Source: RNAcentral
UACGUAGGGUGCAAGCGUUGUCCGGAAUUAUUGGGCGUAAAGAGCUCGUAGGCGGUUUGUCGCGUCUGCUGUGAAAUCCCGAGGCUCAACCUCGGGCCUGCAGUGGGUACGGGCAGACUAGAGUGCGGUAGGGGAGAUUGGAAUUCCUGGUGUAGCGGUGGAAUGCGCAGAUAUCAGGAGGAACACCGAUGGCGAAGGCGGCUCGCUGGACCGGAACUGACGCUGAGGCGCGAAAGCGUGGGGAGCAAACAGG